This 497-nucleotide ribosomal RNA is filed under the name uncultured bacterium. RNAcentral's name for it is "partial 16S ribosomal RNA". It matches the Rfam family "Bacterial small subunit ribosomal RNA", at positions 28 to 507 of the family's 1533-position model. The record is from RNAcentral.
GACGAACGCUGGCGGCGUGCCUAAUACAUGCAAGUUGAGCGAUGAAGAUUGGUGCUUGCACCAAUUUGAAGAGCAGCGAACGGGUGAGUAACGCGUGGGGAAUCUGCCUUUGAGCGGGGGACAACAUUUGGAAACGAAUGCUAAUACCGCAUAACAACUUUAAACAUAAGUUUUAAGGUUGAAAGAUGCAAUUGCAUCACUCAAAGAUGAUCCCGCGUUGUAUUAGCUAGUUGGUGAGGUAAAGGCUCACCAAGGCGAGGAUACAUAGCCGACCUGAGAGGGUGAGCGGCCACAUUGGGACUGGGACACGGCCCAAACGCCUACGGGAGGCAGCAGUAGGGAAUCUUCGGCAAUGGACGAAAGUCUGACCGAGCAACGCCGCGGGAGUGAAGAAGGUUUUCGGAUCGUAAAACUCUGUUGGUAGAGAAGAACGUUGGUGAGAGUGGAAAGCUCAUCAAGUGACGGUAACUACCCAGAAAGGGACGGCUAACUACGUG